RNAcentral lists this ribosomal RNA (918 nucleotides) under archaeon enrichment culture clone AOM-SR-A5. RNAcentral describes it as "bacterial SSU rRNA". It matches the Rfam family "Archaeal small subunit ribosomal RNA", at positions 1 to 922 of the family's 1478-position model. The record is from RNAcentral.
UUCCGGUUGAUCCUGCCGGAGGCUACUGCUAUCGGGGUUCGAUUAAGCCAUGCGAGUUAAAUGUUCUUCGUGAACAUAGCGAACUGCUCAGUAACACGUGGAUAACCUACCCUUAGGACCGGAAUAACCCCGGGAAACUGGGGAUAAUACCGGAUAAGCCAUAGACGCUGGAAUGCCCUAUGGUUCAAAGCUCCGGCGCCUAAGGAUGGAUCUGCGGUCUAUCAGGUUGUAGUGGGUGUAACGUACCUACUAGCCGACGACGGAUACGGGUUGUGAGAGCAAGAGCCCGGAGAUGGAUUCUGAGACACGAAUCCAGGCCCUACGGGGUGCAGCAGGCGCGAACACUUUACAAUGCGGGAAACCGCGAUAAGGGAACCCCGAGUGCCAGCAUCAAAUGUUGGCUGUCCAGAUGGUUAAAAAUCAUUUGUUAGCAAGGGCCGGGCAAGACCGGUGCCAGCCGCCGCGGUAACACCGGCGGCCCGAGUGGUAGCCGUUUUUAUUAGGUCUAAAGGGUCCGUAGCCGGCCUGAUAAGUCCUUUGGGAAAUCUGACAGCUUAACUGUCAGGCUUCUAAGGGAUACUGUCAGGCUUGGGACCGGAAGAGGUAAGGGGUACUCCAGGGGUAGGAGUGAAAUCUUGUAAUCCCUGGGGGACCAUCUGUGGCGAAGGCGCCUUACCAGAACGGGUCCGACGGUGAGGGACGAAAGCUAGGGGAGCAAACCGGAUUAGAUACCCGGGUAGUCCUAGCUGUAAACGAUGCUCGCUAGGUGUCAGACACGGUGCGACCGUGUUUGGUGCCGCAGGGAAGCCGUUAAGCGAGCCACCUGGGAAGUACGGUCGCAAGGCUGAAACUUAAAGGAAUUGGCGGGGGAGCACUACAACGGGUGGAGCCUGCGGUUUAAUUGGAUUCAACGCCGGG